ACGCGUGGGAACAUACCCUUUCCUGCGGAACUAGCUCCGGGACAACUGGACAUUAACUACCUGCNUACGCCCUACGGGGUGAAAGAUUUAUCGUGAGGAAGUGAUUGGCCCUGACUGGUUGGAUUAGCUAGAUUUGUGGGGUAAGAGUGCCUACCAAUGGCGACGAUCCAUAGCUGGUCUGAGAGUGAUGAGUCAGCCAGCCUUGGGACUGAGACACGGCCCAAACUCCAUACAGUGGAGUGCAGCAGUUGGUGGAAUAUUGGACAAUGGGCGCAAGCCUGAUCCAGACCAUAGCCGCNGUGAGUGAUGAAGGCCNUAGGGUUGUANNANGCUCUUUCACCGAUAAAGAUAAUGACGAGUANAUCGAGAGAAGAAGACCCCGAGAUAACUACGNGCCAAGNAAGACGCAGGANCAUACGAAGGGGGCUANACAGUAGUAACGNNAAUAACUGGGANGUAAAGCGCACGUAAGCGAGAUAUANNAAGAUCACGGGGUGAAAAUCCACGCACGACUCAACUGCGGAACUGCC
This 530-nucleotide ribosomal RNA is filed under the name Rhizobium sp. SB37. RNAcentral describes it as "partial 16S ribosomal RNA". It matches the Rfam family "Bacterial small subunit ribosomal RNA", at positions 113 to 625 of the family's 1533-position model. The record is from RNAcentral. Lineage: Bacteria; Pseudomonadati; Pseudomonadota; Alphaproteobacteria; Hyphomicrobiales; Rhizobiaceae.